AAGGGCACGAUAAAUAUUAUACGCGAUACCGGCAACUGUUUAUUUAAGCGUCGGUUAUUUGCGCAAAUGCUAUAAACAUGGCGGAGGUUGCGCUGGUUGAAAUCCACACGUUCCCAUCUAUACAGAACCGAUGUGUGUGUGCUCCGUGUGGCUAUGUCUAAUUCGGCGACCAGGCGAAUAUCUUCCACCUUGUUAUUCCUCGGUACAAAUACAAAUAUAAACCCGUGAGAGAAUAGAACCGUUUCACCUUCCUCGUUUCGCGAAUGAUAUCGCGAAUGGAGCGUGGAAUCGACCCUAUCGACCCACGUCUACACCUUUUCCCGAAACGUGUAAUCUUUUCGUUGGAAUGAAUUGGAAUGAACGGUUACAACGACUACACGAAUGUACGAAAAUAAAUAUUCGGUGAAGAAAAAUCAUGGAAAAUUUGAGAACUCCAGAAAGAGGAAAGUAUACAUAAAAUUAUAUACACUAAGGUGAAAACACAAUGGAAUGGAGGAACGUGGAGCAAAUGGAGCGGAAACUGCAAUGCCCUCGAGUCUGAAUCAACCGGUACCCUCGUUAGCCACUCUAACUCCGUAAGUCCUCGAACCUCGGCCUUCUCUAGCCACGCUAUUUGUUUGAAUUUCACUCUUCAACCAUGUACGUGUAUGCGUGCAUGCGUGUGUACAAAACACGCUUGUACACUACUCUAUUCAAUAUACUGCAGCGGUUUACGCGGUGUAUAGUUAAGGCGGUUCGCUUAAAAACCGCUACACGGUUGGAUGCUCCUUUAAGGAUGCCUCAUAACGAGUCAACUAAACUGUGGUGUUGACUAGACUCCGGUGGAAGGGAUAGAGACCGCGUACCAUCGCGCGGUAAAGGGGUGGUGUCCUUCCAAGUGUGCAAACGCAGCCAUUACGAAUAUUACGAGUUGUCCGUUACGAGAUAUAUCUAUAUACAUUGUUGUGUCGAUCUUUGGAUCUUUCUAGACUUCACCGAAACAGGCAUGAAAAUGUUAGUGUGCAAAAAUUUCGGCCGAGGCUCGAGUUUAUCGAGUUACGAGCAAUUUAAUUUUGCGCUCGAAACGCUUGUAGGUAAGCAACGUAGAUGCGGAACUGUGUGCAGGGCCGUAUUGUAGUGGGUCGAGCCCCCGUUUACCAUUUCACGAUCGUUUUAUCGUUUCGGAAUUGCGAUCUUUCUGAAACGAAGUUUUUAAAAGUUAUCGAACGUCUCGUAGGAUUUGCUCGUGUCUAUUUGCACCAUGUGAUAAGUGCGAGAAGAAUAUUGAGUGGAUGGAUAUUAAAAUGUUGUUAAAGACUUUGUAAGGUCGUCGUUAAUGUCACUUGCCGUUUAACACGCGUCUCUUGUUCCUUCUUAUUUCUUCUUUAUUUAUGAAUCUAUCGAAAAAGUUAUUUAUGGAUGGAAUAAUAUUGAUAAUCGAUAUUCCAUCGUUGGGAUUGUCAUUUAUCAUUGCGGAAUGGAAUGGUAUUUGAUGAAACAUUACGGUACCGAAUGUGUCGUGUACAAUAAGAUAAGAUUACAAAUUGAUCCUUUCGGAAAACAUUUUAUCGACGGCCAUCCCGGUUAUCGAUUUUUCCUUUUUUUUUUUUUUUUUCGAAAACCUCGUUUCCUCGUUUCGAACAAACGAAAUUUUUCCCUCCACCAAUUUUGUAAACAAAAAACGCGCUAUGUAAACACGCGAAAUUGUACGAAAAAGUUUUCAACGACGAUUAAAACGGAUUUGCAUUUUAUAUCGCAUUUAAUACGCGAAAACUGCUGCUUCGACCUCCUAUCGUGAAAACGCGCGCAGCCGCGUAAUUAAAAUUAAUUAUAGCGUUUCAUUAACACGAGCGAUAGUACAAUGCGCGAUUCCAAGCGCAUUAAUCGUAAUAA
Apis dorsata (giant honeybee) is the source of this 1872-nucleotide long non-coding RNA. RefSeq lists it as uncharacterized. The transcript has 2 exons. NCBI's taxonomy places the organism in Eukaryota, Metazoa, Arthropoda, Insecta, Hymenoptera, Apidae. The record is from RefSeq and is a predicted model, not a curated record.